UUCCCCUUCGCCGGCCGCAAGGUCGGCUAUGGCGAUAAACGGUCUUCGAAAUAAACCUAUCGGACCCGGGGGCGGUACCCGGCGCCUCCACCAAGACCCAGGGCACUCGGACGCAUGGGCCGAGAGACGCGACGGACCUGGGUUUCGGCGGGGGCGAAAUAGGAUCGACGAGGGCGUAAAGGUUGAGCUUUCGCUCGGCAUGGUUCCGCCGUUAUCGGGCCUUUGCAAUAGUUGCCAAUGACAACUUUGCUCCGGUGGCGGUGGCCGCGUAAGCGGUCCCCAAUACCAAACGAAGUCCUACCGGUUAGCAUCGGAUAGGCGGGGUUCGGAGGCACCUGGCAACAGAAGCCUCCACUUUAUUUU
Molecule: transfer-messenger RNA, 363 nt
Filed under: Methylobacterium iners
Lineage: Bacteria; Pseudomonadati; Pseudomonadota; Alphaproteobacteria; Hyphomicrobiales; Methylobacteriaceae
Description: transfer-messenger RNA, SsrA
Rfam family: Alphaproteobacteria transfer-messenger RNA
About the family: Bacterial tmRNA, also known as 10Sa RNA or SsrA, is named for its dual tRNA and mRNA-like properties. Its role is to liberate the mRNA from a stalled ribosome.
Source: RNAcentral